RNAcentral lists this ribosomal RNA (254 nucleotides) under uncultured bacterium. RNAcentral's name for it is "partial 16S ribosomal RNA". It matches the Rfam family "Bacterial small subunit ribosomal RNA", at positions 524 to 776 of the family's 1533-position model. The record is from RNAcentral.
UACGUAGGUGGCAAGCGUUGUUCGGAAUUAUUGGGCGUAAAGGGCGCGUAGGCGGUCAGCACAAGUCAGUUGUGAAAUCUCCGGGCUUAACUCGGAAAGGUCAACUGAUACUGUGCGACUAGAGUGCGGAAGGGGCAACUGGAAUUCUCGGUGUAGCGGUGAAAUGCGUAGAUAUCGAGAGGAACACCUGCGGCGAAGGCGGGUUGCUGGGCCGACACUGACGCUGAUGCGCGAAAGCCAGGGGAGCGAACGGG